This 253-nucleotide ribosomal RNA is filed under the name uncultured bacterium. RNAcentral's name for it is "partial 16S ribosomal RNA". It matches the Rfam family "Bacterial small subunit ribosomal RNA", at positions 524 to 776 of the family's 1533-position model. The record is from RNAcentral.
UACGAAGGGGGCUAGCGUUGCUCGGAAUGACUGGGCGUAAAGGGCGCGUAGGCGGUUCAUACAGUCAGAUGUGAAAUUCCCGGGCUUAACCUGGGGGCUGCAUUUGAUACGUGUGGGCUUGAGUGAGGAAGAGGGUUGUGGAAUUCCCAGUGUAGAGGUGAAAUUCGUAGAUAUUGGGAAGAACACCGGUGGCGAAGGCGGCUCACUGGCUCGUAUCUGACGCUCAGGCGCGACAGCGUGGGGAUCAAACAGG